This 254-nucleotide ribosomal RNA is filed under the name uncultured bacterium. RNAcentral describes it as "partial 16S ribosomal RNA". It matches the Rfam family "Bacterial small subunit ribosomal RNA", at positions 524 to 776 of the family's 1533-position model. The record is from RNAcentral.
UACGUAGGGUGCAAGCGUUAUCCGGAAUUAUUGGGCGUAAAGAGCUCGUAGGCGGUUUGUCGCGUCUGCUGUGAAAACUGGGGGCUCAACCCCCAGCCUGCAGUGGGUACGGGCAGACUAGAGUGCGGUAGGGGAGAUUGGAAUUCCUGGUGUAGCGGUGGAAUGCGCAGGAUAUCAGGAGGAACACCGAUGGCGAAGGCAGAUCUCUGGGCCGUAACUGACGCUGAGGAGCGAAAGCCAGGGGAGCGAACGGG